This 57-nucleotide microRNA precursor is filed under the name Heligmosomoides polygyrus. RNAcentral's name for it is "microRNA hpo-mir-240 precursor". Its record names the gene hpo-mir-240. The record is from miRBase by way of RNAcentral. Lineage: Eukaryota; Metazoa; Nematoda; Chromadorea; Rhabditida; Heligmosomidae.
UAGGGGUUGCUCGUCCAGUCAGAAGUAUUGAUCCUUACUGGCCUCGUAACUUCUAGC